CAGGGAGGAAGCGAAAGUGACGGUACCUGCAGAAGAAGCGCCGGCUAACUACGUGCCAGCAGCCGCGGUAAUACGUAGGGCGCGAGCGUUGUCCGGAAUUAUUGGGCGUAAAGAGCUCGUAGGCGGCUUGUCGCGUCGGUUGUGAAAGCCCGGGGCUUAACCCCGGGUCUGCAGUCGAUACGGGCAGGCUAGAGUUCGGUAGGGGAGAUCGGAAUUCCUGGUGUAGCGGUGAAAUGCGCAGAUAUCAGGAGGAACACCGGUGGCGAAGGCUGAUCUCUGGGCCGAUACUGACGCUGAGGAGCGAAAGCAUGGGGAGCGAACAAGAUUAUAUACCCUGGUAGUCCACGCCGUAAACUGAGGGCACUAGGUGUGGGCGACAUUCCACGUCGUCCGUGGCGCAGCUGACGCAUU
Molecule: ribosomal RNA, 411 nt
Filed under: uncultured Streptomyces sp.
Lineage: Bacteria; Bacillati; Actinomycetota; Actinomycetes; Kitasatosporales; Streptomycetaceae
Description: bacterial SSU rRNA
Rfam family: Bacterial small subunit ribosomal RNA
Source: RNAcentral